GACGAACGCUGGCGGCGUGCUUAACACAUGCAAGUCGAACGGAAAGGCCCUGCUUUUGUGGGGUGCUCGUGUGGCGAACGGGUGAGUAACACGUGAGUAACCUGCCCUUGACUUUGGGAUAACUUCAGGAAACUGGGGCUAUUACCGGAUAGGAGCUCCUGCUGCACGGUGGGGGUUGGAAAGUUUCGGCGGUUGGGGAUGGACUGGCGGCUUAUCAGCUUGUUGGUGGGGUAGUGGCUUACCAAGGCUUUGACGGGUAGCCGGCCUGGGAGGGUGACCGGCCACAUUGGGACUGAGAGACGGCCCAGACUCCUACGGGAGGCAGCAGUGGGGAAUAUUGCAGAAUGGGCGGAAGCCUGAUGCAGCAACGCCGCGUGCGGGAUGACGGCCUUCUGGUUGUAAACCGCCUUCGCCUGUGACGAAGCGUGAGUGACGGUAAUGGGUAAAGAAGCACCGGCUAACUACGUG
Molecule: ribosomal RNA, 468 nt
Filed under: uncultured bacterium
Lineage: Bacteria
Description: partial 16S ribosomal RNA
Rfam family: Bacterial small subunit ribosomal RNA
Source: RNAcentral